UAGGGAAUCUUCCGCAAUGGACGAAAGUCUGAUGGAGCAACGCCGCGUGAGCGAUGAAGGCCUUCGGGUCGUAAAGCUCUGUUGUUAGGGAAGAACAAGUAUCGGAGUAACUGCCGGUACCUUGACGGUACCUAACCAGAAAGCCACGGCUAACUACGUG
RNAcentral lists this ribosomal RNA (160 nucleotides) under uncultured bacterium. Its description in RNAcentral is "partial 16S ribosomal RNA". It matches the Rfam family "Bacterial small subunit ribosomal RNA", at positions 355 to 507 of the family's 1533-position model. The record is from RNAcentral.